RNAcentral lists this ribosomal RNA (407 nucleotides) under uncultured bacterium. RNAcentral describes it as "bacterial SSU rRNA". It matches the Rfam family "Bacterial small subunit ribosomal RNA", at positions 30 to 437 of the family's 1533-position model. The record is from RNAcentral.
AUUGAACGCUGGCGGCAUGCCUUACACAUGCAAGUCGAACGGCAGCACGGGAGCUUGCUCCUGGUGGCGAGUGGCGAACGGGUGAGUAAUACAUCGGAACGUACCCUGAAGUGGGGGAUAACGUAGCGAAAGUUACGCUAAUACCGCAUAUUCUGUGAGCAGGAAAGAGGGGGAUCGCAAGACCUCUUGCUUUAGGAGCGGCCGAUGUCGGAUUAGCUAGUUGGUGAGGUGAAGGCUCACCAAGGCGACGAUCCGUAGCGGGUCUGAGAGGAUGAUCCGCCACACUGGGACUGAGACACGGCCCAGACUCCUACGGGAGGCAGCAGUGGGGAAUUUUGGACAAUGGGCGCAAGCCUGAUCCAGCCAUGCCGCGUGAGUGAAGAAGGCCUCGGUUGUAAAGCUCUUCG